Molecule: long non-coding RNA, 969 nt
Filed under: Dromaius novaehollandiae (emu)
Lineage: Eukaryota; Metazoa; Chordata; Aves; Casuariiformes; Dromaiidae
Description: lncRNA (ENSDNVG00000008349.1)
Source: RNAcentral
GUCCCGGCCGAGGCGCCGUUUCGGGGAGCGGCGCGCCGGGGGUUAACGGCGCGGCCGUGCGAACGUGGCUCCCGGCACAGCUCUGAAUCACGGGCUCGGGAAGGGUUUGCGGGAGCCGUCCCUGGGCGCCGCUCUGGGCUUUCCCCGCGCCGCCGGGGCCGUGCCGAUUGCGGGCGGAGGCGGCGAGCAGGGGCUUGCGCCGGCGCGGCUGAAAGCCCCUCGGCGCCCGCCCGGGGCGCCUCGCCAUCUCCCCGCAGCUCAGCAAGAUGUUCUUCCUCUUCCCCGACCCCCACUUCAAGAGGACCAAGCACAAAUGGCGAAUCAUCAGCCCCACGCUGCUGGCGGAGGCCUCGUUUACACCAUCACGGACGUGGAGGAGGUGCACGAGUGGAUCGUGAAGCACUUCAGCAGCCACCCGCUCUUCGAGGAGGUGCCGCUGGCCGAGCUGAGCGACGACCCCGUCGUGGCCCGCCUGGCCACCUGCACGGAGGAGGGCAAGAAGGUGCAGCGCAGCGGCGGCAGCACCUUCCCGGCCGUCUUCCGGCGCGUCGAGGACCCGGCACUGCGGGAGGAGGCGUGAGGCGCGGCGAGCGGGCCCGGCCUCGGCGCUGGGUGGCCGGUGCCUCCUCGUUGGUGCCCAGCCAGGGCUGCGCCUGGCCGGGGCGGUCGCCUGCUGCUGAAUUUCCGAAUAAAGCAGUGACUUUGUGGCCCGGGAGAGGCCGCGGUUUGAUCCUGGCUCCUCCGACCCGCUCCGUCGCCGGCCGCAGGGUCCCUGCGGGGCUGGGACUGAUCCCCCUCCCCUUUUUUGCCUGUUUUUGCCGGUCCAUCCGGGGCAGGAGGCUCUGGGCCCCGGCAGGCGCUUGCGGGGGGCCGUGCCGCCGCCCUGCCCUGGCCCGGGGCUGCUCUGCGUGCACCGGCUGCCUCAGUUUCCCCGGCGCCUGGCAGCGGUUCAGGCGUGAUCUCAGCCUC